Molecule: small RNA, 2740 nt
Filed under: Pongo abelii (Sumatran orangutan)
Lineage: Eukaryota; Metazoa; Chordata; Mammalia; Primates; Hominidae
Description: retained intron
Source: RNAcentral
GAGCGUUUCCGGGGACGGCGCCGCCAUGAGACUGACACCGCGCGCGCUGUGCAGCGCCGCCCAGGCCGCCUGGCGGGAGGACUUCCCCUUGCGCGGUCGCGACGUGGCGCGCUGGUUCCCGGGCCACAUGGCCAAGGGGCUGAAGAAGAUGCAGAGCAGCCUGAAGCUGGUGGACUGUAUCAUCGAGGUCCACGAUGCCCGGAUCCCACUUUCAGGCCGCAACCCUCUGUUUCAGGAAACCCUUGGGCUUAAGCCUCACUUGCUGGUCCUCAACAAGAUGGACUUGGCAGAUCUUACAGAGCAGCAGAAAAUUAUGCAACACUUAGAAGGAGAAGGCUUAAAAAAUGUCAUUUUUACCAACUGUGUAAAGGAUGAAAAUGUCAAGCAGAUCAUCCCGAUGGUCACUGAACUGAUUGGGAGAAGCCACCGCUACCACCGAAGAGAGAACCUGGAGUACUGUAUCAUGGUCAUCGGGGUCCCCAACGUGGGCAAGUCCUCCCUCAUCAACUCCCUCCGGAGGCAGCACCUCAGGAAAGGAAAAGCCACCAGGGUGGGUGGCGAGCCUGGGAUCACCAGAGCUGUGAUGUCCAAAAUUCAGGUGGAGUCCUUAGGGGCCAGGCCCAGCACUCUGUCAAGAGCUCUGCGGGCGUCUGGCACCUGCCGACCUCUGCGUGACUUCCAGCUGCUGACCACGCUUCCCUCCCCUCCACUCAGUGUCCCUGCUGAGCACCCCCGGGGCAGGCACUGCCCCUGCCCUUACUCCACAGUCCUCAUAGUCUUUACACCAAACCUUUGGGGAAGGCACGCUGUUUUCCCCAUUUCCAGAUGAGGAGGCCACUGUCCAGGGCCAUGCAGUGGUCAGGACAGACCUGAGUGUGGCGCCCCACCCCCCCGCCCCCCGCACCCUCCACUCCCUUCCUUGUGUUCUCCUUGGGAGCAGAAGACAAGCUGUUGGGACCUGACGCUUUUAUUUAUUCUCCAAAUUAAGUGGGAAUUAGAUCCUCUGGGGAACCCUAGAGCUUGGUGAGAGUGACGCUGCCAUGGGGUUGGGUCCCCGAGGCCUUCGUCGGAGCAUUGGGUGCCAGGGGCUGCCCAGGCUUCCUGAGUGGCCCACCUGGGUGGGAGGCUGCCACUGCGGCCUGAUGAUGCCCUCUGUGCCCACACAGGUCUCUGAGCGGCCCCUGCUGUUCCUGUUGGACACUCCUGGCGUGCUGGCUCCUCGGAUUGAAAGUGUGGAGACAGGCCUGAAGCUGGCCCUGUGUGGAACGGUGCUGGACCACCUAGUCGGGGAGGAGACCAUGGCUGACUACCUGCUGUACACCCUCAACAAACACCAGCGCUUUGGGUAUGUGCAGCACUACGGCCUGGGCAGUGCCUGUGACAACAUAGAGCGUGUGCUGAAGAGUGUGGCUGUGAAGCUGGGGAAGACGCAGAAGGUGAAGGUGCUCACGGGCACGGGUAACGUGAACGUUAUUCAGCCUAACUAUCCCGCGGCAGCCCGUGACUUCCUCCAGACCUUCCGCCGUGGGCUGCUGGGUUCCGUGAUGCUGGACCUCGACAUCCUGCGGGGCCACCCCCCGGCUGAGACUGUGCCCUGAACUUGUCCGGGUGGGGAGGGCUGGAGGCAGGUGGCCUCCCAGACCUCCUGACCUGGGUGGUUGAGGCUCAAGACAGCUCACCCAGUCCAGAAGCUCCAUGCUGGCCACUAGGGUGCUGUGCUCUCUGGCGCCCCACGGCCUGGCCAGCUCCGGGGGCCCCAGUUCCAGGGGCCAAGCAGGUGGGAGUGGACACCAGGCUUCCCAGUGGACGUCCCUGAGCAGUUCCGCAUGCUUGGUUCUCCUGGAGCUUCCUGCUCAGGCCUCUUGAGAAACGGAUGCUGUCUCAGAAGGAGUUAAAGCUAUAACUUGUAACCUUUAAAAUCUCCAAUUAAAGGGCCUAUUUCUUACUGGCCUGUGAGGUGCACCAUAGUGCCUUGGGUCUGUGUGUUAAAGCUGCUCUCACCAGUGGAACCUAAGAAAUGAGCAGGUUGGCAACUAGGGUUUGUGUUGGAGGCUUUCGGUCCAGUGUCCUGCAGUCCUACAACAAGUGAGAGGCUCGCUGCCAUCAGAGAGGUUUAUUUCACACUUACAGGCGCACAAAGACACAGACAAGAGACUCCAGCAGCAGAGCCCAAGCACUGGCUUCGCCCCUCAGUGCCCUGGGGCAUGUUCCAGGCAGGGUUGAGGGGGACGUCCUGCACAUGGCUUUGCUGUGCAAUGACUGGAAGGCCGCCCGGCAUAGGCAGUAGAGACCCCUGGCCUCUGAGCACCUUCUAGCUCACGGGUAGUGGGAUUCUGCAUUAGUGGGGCUGAGAGAUGUGGGGGCCCCUCCAGCCCCAUUAUAGUGCACCUGAAGGGGUCCACAGCCUGUAUCCUAGAAGAGGGAAGAUGAAGGAAGGCAGGUGGGGCUGGGAGUAUGGACUAAGGUGCUGCGGGACCUGGGGCCAGGGACAUCCUGUGCAGAAGCUCCGGCCGCCUCUUUCCGGUGGUGGCCUGACCGUCCCACAGCAGCCUCCACCACGGCCCUGGUGCUCAGCGGCCCCUCCUUGCUGGCUGACUGCCUCUGCUGCCCCAUACCCCCACACAAUCAUCAGCCUGAAGUUAGCCCCUGAGUGCCACCUGCUUCCUGCCAUAACCCUGACCGCCCGGGGCAGAAAGUAUUCAGAUUGGCUGUGUCAGAUGCUAAUGUGCUGAAUAAACAG